Magnolia sinica is the source of this 379-nucleotide long non-coding RNA. RefSeq lists it as uncharacterized. The transcript has 3 exons. The record is from RefSeq and is a predicted model, not a curated record. NCBI's taxonomy places the organism in Eukaryota, Viridiplantae, Streptophyta, Magnoliopsida, Magnoliales, Magnoliaceae.
CUUCGAAAGCAUUCCUCAAUAGCAAAAUGAUGAUGGUGUUUGAACUUACUGCCAACAGGUAGUUCCAGGUUGUUCCAUUCUCCCGGUCUCCUUGGGCUAUAUACAUGGUUUGUGGUGUAAGCUUCUGUCAUGGGAGAAAAGUUCUCGCAGGCCUGCAAUGUGUAAAGGCUAGAUGACUAGGCCAUGUAUGUGUUCAUUUCUUCUUGUCAUUUGGUCAGACUUCUGCACAUGUCUAUUUGAUAACAGAUUUUUGCCUAGGUGGGGAGCUAUUUGCUUUGCUUGACAAACAGCCUAUGACGAUUUUCAAAGAGGAAGCUGCAAGCCAUGGUCACAAAAAUACCGUGCUCUAUGUCAAGUGGAAUUAAAAUGGUGACUGGGU